Molecule: ribosomal RNA, 402 nt
Filed under: uncultured bacterium
Lineage: Bacteria
Description: bacterial SSU rRNA
Rfam family: Bacterial small subunit ribosomal RNA
Source: RNAcentral
UAGGGAAUAUUGCAAAAUGGGCGAAAGCCCGAUGCAGCAACGCCGCGUGGGCGAUGAAGGCCUUCGGGUCGUAAAGCCCUUUUUGAGGGGAUGAGGAAGGACAGUACCCUCAGAAUAAGCCCCGGCUAACUACGUGCCAGCAGCCGCGGUAAUACGUAGGGGGCAAGCGUUGUCCGGAUUUACUGGGUGUAAAGGGCGCGCAGGCGGGAUAAAAAGUCAGUGGUGAAAUCCUACAGCUUAACUGUAGAACUGCCUUUGAUACUUUUAUUCUUGAGUUCGGGAGAGAGAGACCGAAUUCCAGGUGUAGUGGUGAAAUACGUAGAUAUCUGGAAGAACACCAGUUGCGAAGGCGGUCUCUUGGUCCGACACUGACGCUGAGGCGCGAAAGCGUGGGGAGCAAAC